GGGGGCUUAGCUCAGUGGGGGGGGGGCCUGCUUUGCCCGCAGGAGGUCAGCGGUUCGAUCCCGCUAGUCUCCACCA
Molecule: transfer RNA, 76 nt
Filed under: Staphylococcus pseudintermedius
Lineage: Bacteria; Bacillati; Bacillota; Bacilli; Caryophanales; Staphylococcaceae
Description: tRNA-Ala
Rfam family: tRNA
About the family: Transfer RNA (tRNA) molecules are approximately 80 nucleotides in length. Their secondary structure includes four short double-helical elements and three loops (D, anti-codon, and T loops).
Source: RNAcentral